RNAcentral lists this ribosomal RNA (233 nucleotides) under uncultured bacterium. RNAcentral's name for it is "partial 16S ribosomal RNA". It matches the Rfam family "Bacterial small subunit ribosomal RNA", at positions 118 to 346 of the family's 1533-position model. The record is from RNAcentral.
UGAGCAAUCUGCCCUUCUCUUCGGAAUAAGCGUGGGAAACCGCGUCUAAUGCCGAAUACGACCUCCUUUCGCAUGAUCGGAGGUGGAAAGCUCCGGCGGAGAAGGAUGAGCUCGCGGCCUAUCAGCUAGUUGGUGUGGGUAAUGGCCCACCAAGGCGACGACGGGUAGCCGGCCUGAGAGGGUGACCCGGCCACACGUGGGACUGAGACACCGGCCCAGACCUCCGUACGGGA